This 617-nucleotide ribosomal RNA is filed under the name Haloarcula sp. I.C7. RNAcentral's name for it is "bacterial SSU rRNA". It matches the Rfam family "Archaeal small subunit ribosomal RNA", at positions 43 to 661 of the family's 1478-position model. Lineage: Archaea; Methanobacteriati; Methanobacteriota; Halobacteria; Halobacteriales; Haloarculaceae. The record is from RNAcentral.
GAUUAGCCAUGCUAGUCGCACGAGCUUAGACUCGUGGCAUAUAGCUCAGUAACACGUGGCCAAACUACCCUACAGACCGCAAUAACCUCGGGAAACUGAGGCCAAUAGCGGAUAUAACUCUCAGGCUGGAGUGCCGAGAGUUAGAAACGUUCCGGCGCUGUAGGAUGUGGCUGCGGCCGAUUAGGUAGAUGGUGGGGUAACGGCCCACCAUGCCGAUAAUCGGUACAGGUUGUGAGAGCAAGAGCCUGGAGACGGUAUCUGAGACAAGAUACCGGGCCCUACGGGGCGCAGCAGGCGCGAAACCUUUACACUGCACGACAGUGCGAUAGGGGGACUCCGAGUGUGAGGGCAUAUAGCCCUCGCUUUUCUGUACCGUAAGGUGGUACAAGAACAAGGACUGGGCAAGACCGGUGCCAGCCGCCGCGGUAAUACCGGCAGUCCAAGUGAUGGCCGAUAUUAUUGGGCCUAAAGCGUCCGUAGCUUGCUGUGUAAGUCCAUUGGGAAAUCGACCAGCUCAACUGGUCGACGUCCGGUGGAAACUACACAGCUUGGGGCCGAGAGACUCGACGGGUACGUCUGGGGUAGGAGUGAAAUCCUAUAAUCCUGGACGGACCACC